Molecule: long non-coding RNA, 1085 nt
Filed under: Dasypus novemcinctus (nine-banded armadillo)
Lineage: Eukaryota; Metazoa; Chordata; Mammalia; Cingulata; Dasypodidae
Description: lncRNA (ENSDNOG00000051307.1)
Source: RNAcentral
CGCCCCGAAUCUGCUGGCGGUGGCGGUGGCGGCGGCUCCUCGGGGUCCCCAGCCUUCGUUAGGGCGGGUGGGAUUUGGCGAGGGGAGGGCAGUCCCCGGGGAUGGGGAGCGGUGGCCCAGCGGUGGCCCACAAGGACGGGGGCGGAAUUGUCCUAAUGGCAGACCCCGCGUCUCGCGCUCGUGGAGGUGGCUCUGGAGGGCGCCGGCCCCGGAGACCUUGAUUAGAGGCUCCUGACGUUUCCACCCCAGAGAGGCUGGUCCCGCGACGGUCCCACCGGAGUCCGCUCGGCCGCUGCUGGUCUUGGGGUCCCGCACGGGCUUCCCGGCUCCGGUCCACUGGACCAGGGUAUCAGCCACACAGACCUCCAGGGUUCUCCCAGAGGGGCCUGGAAGCCUCAGGGCCUCUGGCAAGAAGACCUGGAUGUGGGACUUGUGCAGGCGUGCAGCUUCUGGCAGAGAAGGCACGUCCUUGUCAAGAAAGCUCCGGUUGUGGGGGGGCUAUGGGCGCAUCUGGGCCCUUCAAGGAGGAAGCUCCUGAGAUGUACUUUCCUCUUUAACUGGGCUUUUCAGGCGUGCUCUUUGUGCCUCGCCUCCCUGUUUGGAUCACGCAAUCUCCUUUUCAGUAUCAGCCGCGAUUCUCAUAAGUUUAUUGCUUUCUAAAGUGUUGGAUCAUUUCUACCCCUUGUUGCUGAAUUAGCCACCUCCUCGGGGGCCAUGGCGGUGUUACGAAGUGAUGCGUUUCCCUGCUCCACAUUUCCCCCUCAUGCUUAGAGCCCAUAUUUUAAAAAAUCUCUGUGGACUUGCCAGCUUCAUCCUAUAAUUUCUUUUUUUUUUUUUUUUUUAAUACUUUUUCUUAUUAAGAUGUAAUCCACAUACCAUGAAAUUCACCCUUUUGUCAUGACAGUUCAGUGGUUUUUAAUAUAUUCACAAUUAUAUAUAAUAUAUUGAAUAUAUUCAGUAUAUUCAUCACCACAGUCAGUUUUAGGACCUUUUGAUCACCUGAACAGAAACCCCGGACUUAUUAGCAGCCCCUCCCCACCCCCUCCUCCCACAGCUCCUGAGAACACCUGAUCUACUUGCAGUCU